RNAcentral lists this ribosomal RNA (491 nucleotides) under uncultured bacterium. Its description in RNAcentral is "partial 16S ribosomal RNA". It matches the Rfam family "Bacterial small subunit ribosomal RNA", at positions 355 to 863 of the family's 1533-position model. The record is from RNAcentral.
UGGGGAAUAUUGGACAAUGGGGGCAACCCUGAUCCAGCCAUGCCGCGUGAGUGAUGAAGGCCUUCGGGUUGUAAAGCUCUUUUGGCGGGGACGAUGAUGACGGUACCCGCAGAAUAAGCCCCGGCUAACUUCGUGCCAGCAGCCGCGGUAAGACGAAGGGGGCUAGCGUUGUUCGGAAUUACUGGGCGUAAAGCGAGUGUAGGCGGUUGCCGUAGUCAGGUGUGAAAGCCUUGAGCUCAACUCAAGGAAAUGCACUUGAUACUGGGUGACUAGAGGACCGGAGAGGAUAGUGGAAUUCCCAGUGUAGUGGUGAAAUACGUAGAGAUUGGGAAGAACACCAGUGGCGAAGGCGGCUAUCUGGACGGUUACUGACGCUAAGACUCGAAAGCGUGGGGAGCAAACAGGAUUAGAUACCCUGGUAGUCCACGCCGUAAACGAUGGGUGCUAGACGUUGGCGAGCUUGCUCGUCAGUGUCGCAGCUAACGCGUUAA